AGACGUCUACAUUAGAUACCCCCGUAGUCCCAGCCGUAAACUAUGCGCGUUAGGUGUAUCGGUGACCACGAGUUACCGAGGUGCCGAAGGGAAACCGUGAAACGUGCCGCCUGGGAAGUACGGUCGCAAGGCUGAAACUUAAAGGGAAUUGGCGGGGAGCACCACAACGGGUGGAGCCUGCGGUUUAAUUGGACUCAACGCCGGGAAGCUCACCGGAUAAGACAGCGGAAUGAUUGCCGGGCUGAAGACUCUGCAUGACUAGCUG
This 265-nucleotide ribosomal RNA is filed under the name uncultured archaeon. Its description in RNAcentral is "partial 16S ribosomal RNA". It matches the Rfam family "Archaeal small subunit ribosomal RNA", at positions 714 to 982 of the family's 1478-position model. The record is from RNAcentral.